GGCUGGAGGCUUUGGCCGAGGGGUUGUAGAAGGACAUAUUGUUGUUGCAACUGACAAUCAGGAGGACGCUGCUACUAGUGGGAGAGACUCACAGGCUCACACAACUGUCCCAAAGACUGAUGCUGAGGACUUCGAUGACAAGUCUGUUGCGUUAGGGAAGGCUCUGGAUGAUAUGGUGCAAUUCCUAGAGAGUCAUCCGGGUCAUACGACCAGUUCUGAUAUGUUUCGCCAUGUGCUCUCUGCUGCUCGCAGGAUCAUUACGCUAUCUGAUCAGCGUGGUCGUACAGCGGAAGACAACCAUGGUGGUACGGAGGGUGGUGCAACGCAGCUGGAAGAGGAUAUGUGGAACAAUCCAGACAAUCUAAGUGCCGUUGA
Molecule: long non-coding RNA, 375 nt
Organism: Ipomoea triloba (trilobed morning glory)
Lineage: Eukaryota; Viridiplantae; Streptophyta; Magnoliopsida; Solanales; Convolvulaceae
Exons: 3
Source: RefSeq, a predicted model, not a curated record